CAGUAUAUAUUUUAUAUAAAAUAUUAAUUUUGGAGAUUAAAGAUAUAAAUUAAUUUAUUUUACUGA
This 66-nucleotide transfer RNA is filed under the name Cofana yasumatsui. Its description in RNAcentral is "tRNA-Pro". The record is from RNAcentral. Lineage: Eukaryota; Metazoa; Arthropoda; Insecta; Hemiptera; Cicadellidae.